AGCACAUAGCCUUGUCACGUGACCUUCUUAUUUACUAUGGCUCUCUGGGGACUGGGAACUAUGUACCCCGUGUCAAUAUGGCGGACAAACAUGGCCGACGCCGGUGAGGCUAAGUUUUUGCUUUAUAGGAGAAAUGCUAGCACAAAUAAGCUAAAAGUCGUCUAUUUGAAGGGUUACGGCAAUAGACAUGAUUUUGUGAGCUGAAGSMUGGAUUGWUAAGGCGUUUAGUCACUGAAGCUCCUGACUACCCCUGAAGCAUGCAGCACGUAUUUGCAUUGUAAUCAAUUCAAUUUUGCUUUGAUUUAGAUCAUUCCACUUUUUUGUUGGAUUURUUUGUAAUAAAAUGAUGUUUUAUUAA
Long non-coding RNA from Exaiptasia diaphana, 358 nucleotides. RefSeq lists it as uncharacterized. The transcript has 2 exons. Lineage: Eukaryota; Metazoa; Cnidaria; Anthozoa; Actiniaria; Aiptasiidae. The record is from RefSeq and is a predicted model, not a curated record.